Molecule: ribosomal RNA, 454 nt
Filed under: uncultured bacterium
Lineage: Bacteria
Description: partial 16S ribosomal RNA
Rfam family: Bacterial small subunit ribosomal RNA
Source: RNAcentral
UGGGGAAUCUUCCGCAAUGGACGAAAGUCUGACGGAGCAACGCCGCGUGAGUGAUGACGGCCUUCGGGUUGUAAAGCUCUGUGAUCGGGGACGAAUGGCUGGUGUGCUAAUACUACAUCAGAGUGACGGUACCCGAAUAGCAAGCCACGGCUAACUACGUGCCAGCAGCCGCGGUAAUACGUAGGUGGCAAGCGUUGUCCGGAAUUAUUGGGCGUAAAGCGCGCGCAGGCGGCUUCUUAAGUCCAUCUUAAAAGUGCGGGGCUUAACCCCGUGAUGGGAUGGAAACUGGGAGGCUGGAGUAUCGGAGAGGAAAGUGGAAUUCCUAGUGUAGCGGUGAAAUGCGUAGAGAUUAGGAAGAACACCGGUGGCGAAGGCGACUUUCUGGACGACAACUGACGCUGAGGCGCGAAAGCGUGGGGAGCAAACAGGAUUAGAUACCCUGGUAGUCCACGCC